CAGCACGUUUAAUCCUGUUCAAAACCAAAUUAAACCCUGAAAGCAUAUGUUACUGUAAAGUAUGAGUCACAGACUGUCAUGAUAUUUUGCAGAAGAUUAUUCAGCAGCUGUCUUCAAAACGAAAAAAGCGAAGAGCUACAUUUGCCCUGUGCCUGUUACCCGCCGGAGGCUUGUCGGGCCACGUCGGGGAGCGUGGAGGGAGAGGCAUGAGCCGCGCGCUCGGGGGACCCCAGGAGAGAUUCAGACUCCAGUGGCUUGUAAAAGAGUGCUCUGUGCUUACCGGCACACUACCCCAGGUCUUCUGUUGUGAGUGAAGCUUCUUCUGAAGAAGAAAGCCAUGGAGAAGUCAAUUCCUCCCAAACACUACCCAGGGAAUGGGACAUUGGAAAAGAGGGACAAAAAAGUUCUAGAAGCUGAGAGAUGUCGUGACUAUAAGAAGAAGCAACGUGUUUUGCCUCUUUAUUGCAAAGUAAUAGAAAUAAUAAUGGGCUAAUGAUGAUGAUGGCUGAAGUUUCCUGACAACCUCAGUGUGUGCUAGGUCCUGUGCUGAGCACUUUAUACAUACUUCUGUCCAGUGGAGCAUAAAAGAAACCUGUUGCGCUUCUCAGAAGAGGUCUACUCAUCAUUGUCGACAGAGAGGCAUGUGAGAAGUCCCAAUUCAGAGCAGUGACAGCCA
Molecule: long non-coding RNA, 676 nt
Filed under: Canis lupus familiaris (dog)
Lineage: Eukaryota; Metazoa; Chordata; Mammalia; Carnivora; Canidae
Description: lncRNA (ENSCAFG00030009298.1)
Source: RNAcentral